UCCUACGGGAGGCAGCAGUGGGGAAUAUUGCACAAUGGGGGCAACCCUGAUGCAGCAAUACCGCGUGUGUGAAGAAGGCCCGAGGGUUGUAAAGCACUUUCAAUAGUGAAGAAAAGCUCAUGGUUAAUACCCAUGGGUCUUGACGUUAACUAUACAAGAAGCACCGGCUAACUCCGUGCCAGCAGCCGCGGUAAUACGGAGGGUGCAAGCGUUAAUCGGAAUUACUGGGCGUAAAGCGUGCGUAGGCGGUUUACUAAGUCAGAUGUGAAAGCCCCGGGCUUAACCUGGGAACUGCAUUUGAUACUGGUAGGCUAGAGUGUGAUAGAGGGGGGUAGAAUUCCUGGUGUAGCGGUGAAAUGCGUAAAUAUCAGGAGGAAUACCAGUGGCUAAGGCGGCCCCCUGGAUCAAUACUGACGCUGAGGUACAAAAGCGUGGGUAGCGAACAGGAUUAGAUACCCUGGUAGUCCACGCCAUA
This 475-nucleotide ribosomal RNA is filed under the name uncultured bacterium. Its description in RNAcentral is "bacterial SSU rRNA". It matches the Rfam family "Bacterial small subunit ribosomal RNA", at positions 337 to 804 of the family's 1533-position model. The record is from RNAcentral.